GCCGAGGUAGCGAAGCCCGGUUCAACGCGCACGCCUGGAAAGCGUGUGGCCUCACGGCCCCCUGAGUUCAAAUCUCAGCCUCGGCG
Molecule: transfer RNA, 86 nt
Filed under: Candidatus Altarchaeales archaeon WOR_SM1_SCG
Lineage: Archaea; Nanobdellati; Candidatus Altarchaeota; Candidatus Altarchaeia; Candidatus Altarchaeales
Description: Candidatus Altiarchaeales archaeon WOR_SM1_SCG tRNA
Rfam family: tRNA
About the family: Transfer RNA (tRNA) molecules are approximately 80 nucleotides in length. Their secondary structure includes four short double-helical elements and three loops (D, anti-codon, and T loops).
Source: Rfam by way of RNAcentral